This 346-nucleotide unclassified non-coding RNA is filed under the name soil metagenome. RNAcentral's name for it is "partial contains 5.8S ribosomal RNA, internal transcribed spacer 2, and large subunit ribosomal RNA". The stretch from base 1 to 120 matches the Rfam family "5.8S ribosomal RNA", at positions 35 to 154 of the family's 154-position model. The record is from RNAcentral.
GAUGAAGAACGUAGCGAAAUGCGAUACGUAGUGUGAAUUGCAGAAUUCAGUGAAUCAUCGAAUCUUUGAACGCACAUUGCACCUCUCGGUAUUCCGGGAGGUAUGCCUGUCCGAGCGUCAUUGCUGCCCUCAAGCCCGGCUUGUGUGUUGGGUCUCGUCCCCCUUCCCGGGGGGACGGGCCCGAAAGGCAGCGGCGGCACCGUGUCCGGUCCUCGAGCGUAUGGGGCUUUGUCACCCGCUCUGUAGGCCCGGCCGGCGCUUGCCGAUCAACCAAAACUUUUUUCCAGGUUGACCUCGGAUCAGGUAGGGAUACCCGCUGAACUUAAGCAUAUCAAUAAGCGGAGGA